Molecule: unclassified non-coding RNA, 380 nt
Filed under: uncultured Ceratobasidiaceae
Lineage: Eukaryota; Fungi; Basidiomycota; Agaricomycetes; Cantharellales; Ceratobasidiaceae
Description: sequence contains ITS1
Rfam family: 5.8S ribosomal RNA (bases 1-105)
Source: RNAcentral
GAAAUGCGAUAUGCAGUGUGAAUUGCAGAAUUCAGUGAAUCAUCGAAUCUUUGAACGCACCUUGCGCUCCUUGGUAUUCCUUGGAGCAUGCCUGUUUGAGUAUCAUGAAAUCUUCAAAGUAAACCUUUUGUUAAUUCAAUUGGUUCCUUACUUUGGUAUUGGAGGUCUUUGCAGUUUCACAACUGCUCCUCUUUGUUCAUUAGCUGGAUCUCAGUGUUAUGCUUGGUUCCACUCGGCGUGAUAAGUAUCUAUCGCUGAGGACACUUGUAAAAAGGUGGCCAAGGUAAACGCAGAUGAACCGCUUCUAACAGUCCAUUGACUUGGACAAUAAAUAUUUAUGAUCUGAUCUCAAAUCAGGUAGGACUACCCGCUGAACUUAA